GGUAAGACGAGGGAUCCUAGCGUUGUUCGGAAUUAUUGGGCGUAAAGCGGGUGCAGGUGGCUAUGUAAGUCAGGUGUGAAAGCCUAGGGCUCAACCCUAGAAGUGCAUUUGAUACUGCGUAGCUUGAGUGCUAGAGAGGAUAGUAGAAUUCCUGGUGUAGUGGUGAAAUACGUAGAUAUCAGGAGGAAUACCGGCGGCGAAGGCGGCUAUCUGGCUAGACACUGACACUCAGACCCGAAAGCGU
This 244-nucleotide ribosomal RNA is filed under the name uncultured Pseudobdellovibrionaceae bacterium. RNAcentral describes it as "uncultured Bdellovibrionaceae bacterium partial 16S ribosomal RNA". It matches the Rfam family "Bacterial small subunit ribosomal RNA", at positions 519 to 762 of the family's 1533-position model. Lineage: Bacteria; Pseudomonadati; Bdellovibrionota; Bdellovibrionia; Bdellovibrionales; Pseudobdellovibrionaceae. The record is from RNAcentral.